Molecule: long non-coding RNA, 571 nt
Organism: Spinacia oleracea (spinach)
Lineage: Eukaryota; Viridiplantae; Streptophyta; Magnoliopsida; Caryophyllales; Amaranthaceae
Exons: 3
Source: RefSeq, a predicted model, not a curated record
CCUUUGAGCACUUACCUUGGCUGGCUCCCCGAAAGGGGCAGAGGCCUUUGGAGUACCCUGCCGGUCGUCGUUGGGGUUGGAAGAAGAAGCUGACAGUGCGUCCACCGCCCGAUACCGUGUGGGAUCUCAUUCGGGACGGGAACCCUGAGCAUGUGGUUUGGACCCCAUGGCUCUCUUUUAGGGGUACUUAUGCUUCGGUCAGGGAUAGUUAUGCCCUGAGCCAGAUGCGGGUCUUGUUCGUUGGCCGCCGGGACCCUGUCUGGUACCUAGGAGAGCGGGUACGUAUGCAGAAGGUCGGGGCUUUUUCGGUGCCUAGGCCUCUGCCUGCGACCAUGCUGUCUACUCGUUCGAUAGGCGAGUCGUGGAGGGUCCACUCGAGGACUGGCGUGCCGGCGACGGAGUUGGUGAUAGAGGGAGCUAGCUAUUAUCAGUUUAUCCAGGAUUCUCUUCGUCUCCCGGAGCCUGGCGCUGAGUGUCCUGACCCUUCGUUGGGGGGGGGGGGGAUGGGUGCUUCCCGAUGCUCGGAUCUCGUAUACCGGAGAGAGUGGAUCCGAGAUUGUGGAGACUUUCC